RNAcentral lists this ribosomal RNA (492 nucleotides) under uncultured bacterium. RNAcentral describes it as "partial 16S ribosomal RNA". It matches the Rfam family "Bacterial small subunit ribosomal RNA", at positions 29 to 507 of the family's 1533-position model. The record is from RNAcentral.
AGUGAACGCUGGCGGUAGGCCUAACGCAUGCAAGUCGAACGGCAGCACAGUAAGAUCUUGCUCUUACGGGUGGCGAGUGGCGGACGGGUGAGGAAUACAUCGUAAUCUACUUUUUCGUGGGGGAUAACGUAGGUAAACUUACGCUAAUACCGCAUACGACCUACGGUUGAAAGCAGGGGAUCUUCUGACCUUGCGCGAUUGAAUUAGCCGAUGUCGGAUUAGCUAGUUGGCGGGGUAAAGGCCCACCAAGGCGACGAUCCGUAGCUGGUCUGAGAGGAUGGUCAGCCACACUGGAACUGAGACACGCUCCAGACUCCUAAGGGAGGCAGCAGUGGGGAAUAUUGGACAAUGGGCGGAAGCCUGAUCCAGCCAUACCGAGUGGGUGAAGAAGGCCUUCGGGUUGUAAAGACGUUUUGUUGGGAAAGAAACGCAGCAGGUUAAUACGAAGCUGUUGUGACGGUAACCAAAGAAUAAGCACCGGCUAACUUCGUG